UCACAAUUCCCACGGACUCCAGAUA
RNAcentral lists this microRNA (25 nucleotides) under Equus caballus (horse). Its description in RNAcentral is "eca-miR-9118". The record is from miRBase by way of RNAcentral. Lineage: Eukaryota; Metazoa; Chordata; Mammalia; Perissodactyla; Equidae.